AGAGUUUGAUCCUGGCUCAGGACGAACGCUGGCGGCGUGCUUAACACAUGCAAGUCAGGGGGCGGGGCUUCGGCCCUGUCACCGGCGAACGGGUGCGGAACACGUGAGCGACCUGCCCUGGUGUGGGGGAUAGCCGGCCCAACGGCCGGGUAAUACCGCAUACGGCGCCCGCUUGGAAGCGGGAGGCGAAACUCGCAAGAGGCGCUAGGAGGGGCUCGCGGCCUAUCAGCUAGUUGGGGGGGUAACGGCCUCCCAAGGCGAUGACGGGUAGCUGGUCUGAGAGGAUGGCCAGCCACAUUGGGACUGAGAGACGGCCCAGACUCCUACGGGAGGCAGCAGUGGGGAAUAUUGCGCAAUGGGCGAAACCUGACGCAGCGACGCCGCGUGGAGGAUGAGGCCUUCGGGGUGUAAACUCCUGUUGCCCGGGACGAAUGCCCAGUAUGGACUGGGUUGACGGUACCGGGUGAGGAAGCACCGGCUAACUCUGUGCCAGCAGCCGCGGUAAUACAGAGGGUGCGAGCGUUGUCCGGAAUUACUGGGCGUAAAGGGCGCGUAGGUGGCGGGUCACGCGUGCCGUGAAAGCCCGGGGCUCAACCCCGGGUCGGCGGUGCGAACGGGCUCGCUGGAGCGUACGAGAGGCAGGCGGAAUUCCGGGUGUAGCGGUGGAAUGCGUAGAGAUCCGGAAGAACACCGGUGGCGAAGGCGGCCUGCUGGCGUACGGCUGACACUGAGGCGCGACAGCGUGGGGAGCAAACAGGAUUAGAUACCCUAGUAGUCC
RNAcentral lists this ribosomal RNA (778 nucleotides) under uncultured bacterium. RNAcentral's name for it is "bacterial SSU rRNA". It matches the Rfam family "Bacterial small subunit ribosomal RNA", at positions 8 to 796 of the family's 1533-position model. The record is from RNAcentral.